UUUAGGUUGGCUGCAGCAAAGCCUGAGCCCAUUUCCAGGCGGUUCUGGGGAUGCCUCCCUCCGUUUCCCGGAAAACUAGGCAAAGGUGGAGAACCAGGAACAUAGCAGAGGGGGUCAGUGAGGUGGCUGCCCCCUGCGAAUGGCUUCAUUUGGGCUUUGGCAGCGGCAGAAGUACUUUAAUUUGAAACAGCAGUGACGUGAACAGGGACAAAAGUCGUGGUAAAUCAUGGGGC
Molecule: long non-coding RNA, 233 nt
Filed under: Dasypus novemcinctus (nine-banded armadillo)
Lineage: Eukaryota; Metazoa; Chordata; Mammalia; Cingulata; Dasypodidae
Description: lncRNA (ENSDNOG00000052903.1)
Source: RNAcentral